CAAAAAUCAAUUGCCCAUAAAUGUAUGAAUUUACUUAUUUCUGGACUCUCAAUUCUGUUCCAGUGAUCUAUAUGUCUAUCCUUAUGCCAGUACCACAUAGUCUUGAUUGCUAGAGCUUUGUAAAAGAUUUCAAAAUAGGAAGGUAUGAGUCUGCCAAUGUUUCCUUCUUAAGAUUAUUUUGACCUUUCUAGGUCCCUUGCAUUUCCACAUGAAUUUUAGGACCAACUUAUCAAUAUCUGCCAAAUAGUCAGCUGGGAUUUUGAUAGGAA
This 269-nucleotide long non-coding RNA is filed under the name Homo sapiens (human). RNAcentral's name for it is "non-protein coding lnc-PSMF1-4:1". Lineage: Eukaryota; Metazoa; Chordata; Mammalia; Primates; Hominidae. The record is from RNAcentral.